UGUGUCUGGGACGACACGGAUUGGCAGGAAGCGAAUCGGGAACACCUCAGGAUGAGGUUCACCAGGACGGUGACAGGAAUUCAGGGACAGGGACGAAGGGGGCGGAGCGAUCCGCCCCCUUUUUU
Small RNA from Pseudomonas oryzihabitans, 125 nucleotides. NCBI's taxonomy places the organism in Bacteria, Pseudomonadati, Pseudomonadota, Gammaproteobacteria, Pseudomonadales, Pseudomonadaceae. The record is from Rfam.